CUAUCCGCCUGGGGACUACGAGCUUAAGCUUAAAACCCAAAGGACUUGGCGGUGCUUUAGAUCCCCCUAGAGGAGCCUGUUCUGGAACCGAUAAUCCCCGUUAAACCUCACCUUUUCUUGUUCUCCCCGCCUAUAUACCGCCGUCGUCAGCUUACCCUGUGAAGGGACAACAGUUAGCAGAAUUGGCACAGCCCAAAACGUCAGGUCGAGGUGUAGCGUACGGAAAGGGAAGAAAUGGGCUACAUUUUCUAGAUAGAAAAUACGGAUGAUAUACUGAAAUACAUAUCUGAAGGAGGAUUUAGUAGUAAGAAGAGA
Molecule: ribosomal RNA, 315 nt
Filed under: Stephanolepis cirrhifer (thread-sail filefish)
Lineage: Eukaryota; Metazoa; Chordata; Actinopteri; Tetraodontiformes; Monacanthidae
Description: partial 12S ribosomal RNA
Rfam family: Bacterial small subunit ribosomal RNA
Source: RNAcentral